RNAcentral lists this ribosomal RNA (440 nucleotides) under uncultured bacterium. RNAcentral describes it as "partial 16S ribosomal RNA". It matches the Rfam family "Bacterial small subunit ribosomal RNA", at positions 338 to 795 of the family's 1533-position model. The record is from RNAcentral.
CCUACGGGUGGCAGCAGUGGGGAAUAUUGCACAAUGGGGGAAACCCUGAUGCAGCGACGCCGCGUGAGUGAAGAAGUAUUUCGGGAUGUAAAGCUCUUUCAGCGGGGAAGAAAAUGACGGUAACAGAUCAAGAAGCCCCGGCUAACUACGUGCCAGCAGCCGCGGUAAUACGUAGGGGGCAAGCGUUAUCCGGAUUUACUGGGGGUAAAGGGAGCGUAGGCGGCAGCGCAAGUCUGGAGUGAAAUGCCGGGGCUUAACCCCGGAACGGCAUUGGAAACUGUGCGACUAGAGUGCAGGAGAGGGAAGUGGAAUUCCUAGUGUAGCGGUGAAAUGCGUAGAUAUUAGGAGGAACACCAGUGGCGAAGGCGGCUUACUGGACAUUAACUGACGUUGAGGCUCGAAAGCGUGGGGAGCAAACAGGAUUAGAUACCCGAGUAGUC